GACGAAGGUGGCGAGCGUUGUUCGGAAUCACUGGGCAUAAAGCGCACGUAGGCGGCGACGUAAGUUGGGUGUGAAAUCCCCCGGCCCAACCGGGGAACUGCGCCCAGUACUGCGUUGCUUGAGGAUCCAAGGGGUGCAUGGAAUUCCCGGUGGAGCGGUGAAAUGCGUUGAUAUCGGGAGGAACUCCGGCGGCGAAAGCGGUGCACUGGUGGAUUACUGACGCUGAGGUGCGAAAGCCAGGGGAGCAAACGGG
This 253-nucleotide ribosomal RNA is filed under the name Anaerolineae bacterium. RNAcentral describes it as "partial 16S ribosomal RNA". It matches the Rfam family "Bacterial small subunit ribosomal RNA", at positions 524 to 776 of the family's 1533-position model. Lineage: Bacteria; Bacillati; Chloroflexota; Anaerolineae. The record is from RNAcentral. RNAcentral also lists the same sequence under 2 other names.